RNAcentral lists this small nucleolar RNA (106 nucleotides) under Sorghum bicolor (sorghum). RNAcentral describes it as "Plant small nucleolar RNA R71". It matches the Rfam family "Plant small nucleolar RNA R71". From Rfam's summary of the family: R71 is a member of the C/D box family of snoRNAs containing the C (UGAUGA) and D (CUGA) box motifs. Multiple nearly identical copies of this snoRNA have been identified in Arabidopsis, and it is thought to function as a 2'-O-ribose methylation guide for 18S ribosomal RNA. Lineage: Eukaryota; Viridiplantae; Streptophyta; Magnoliopsida; Poales; Poaceae. The record is from Rfam by way of RNAcentral.
CCAUCGUGAUGAGGACAAUCUUCAAUGUAAUCUUGAAAUUUUUCCCAUGCUUCAGUGAAUGAUUUAUCAUGUUGUUGUUGAAAACUUAAAAUUUUUCCACGCAGAG